UUGUCAUCAUGUACAGCCUGCAUCAUGAAACAUGCCGAAACAAAUUGUUGCUAUUGUAUAGUUAUUUUUCUGUGGUUCCGAAUACUGAAUUGAACUUCGUUUUUGUAGGUUAAGUUAAUCCUGACCUAGUUUCCUUAUACUUUUAUAUUACAUCCAUUUCUUCAAUUUGUAGAAAGUAAGUCCGCCAUUCCAACAAGUUGACUUAGUGCUCAGUCAAUUUCCAUCCAUUAGAUCCUUAUGCUGUCAAAAGCCUGGAACUCUUAUUUGAAUCCCACAUACAGUGGCAUUAGACAAAAGUUAUUGCGCAUGGACCGUGGGAUCUUUUCGGAAUCUUGCAAGUGUAACCUGUGUCAGAAUGUUUGUCGAGUGUACGACUGUUUCUAGAGCCAUUCAGAAUUCAACCCAGCUGAGAGAUAGUUCCAGUUUCAGUGAAUGUACAUGAAGAGUGUGAAGUGUAUUUAGUACAUUUACCAGGUCUGCUUGAUGAAAGUCAAAUGCCUUACUGCAUUUGUCACCCAAAUGAUAAAGAAAUAUUUGUGACGUCCCCUGAGAUCGCGAGUCGGCCGCCAGUUUCAAUCUACAACGCAGUUUCUUCAUGGAAUCGUGAGGUCCGGGCACGGAGAUCCUUGAGCCAACGCUGGCCAUGACAGAAGAGGGACUUCUACCAACGUUCGGAUCCUUAUCUUCACGACGUACGCUGCUUCUUGUGCUUCACUGGCGAAUUAAAUCACUUCAGUGUUCGCUUCCGUCCGCUGUGAAAUACCUGCAGUCACUCACCACGGGAUUAUGCCAAGGUAAUGCAGAAGAGACGUCGAGAAGAUGGAUUUUCUCAUCUUUUACAAUCGUCACCAGUCUCCGUCGGAUGUUGCCCCUGCUUCUGCAUGGUGCGAACGAAACUCGGUGGAAUCGCGGCCGACGCCGUGACUCGUCAUCAACGUGGAUCAUCGUAUUGUUGGUAUUAUUGCGUUAGUGUUAGUUAACCCGUUGGCUGCCACACCUUUGUUCUCCCCUGCACGGGCCGCGCUGUUCGGUCUUGUGGUUUAAAAGCCGCGGGGUCGGAGAGUCGCCAAGCCCAAAAUUUGCCGCUAGGCAAGCCUGUUAAAAGGCAAUGCACCUUAGUCCCCCCCUUGUCAGCACGGACUUGUCAGCAAUGGCAAGUCCCACUUGGUCAUGGAUCCUUCAGACGUGGCGCGUAGAGUAGUAGAGAGCAACCUACGGGUUGUAUGGCGUGGCAGC
This is a long non-coding RNA of Daphnia pulicaria, 1236 nucleotides long. RefSeq lists it as uncharacterized. The transcript has 4 exons. The record is from RefSeq and is a predicted model, not a curated record. NCBI's taxonomy places the organism in Eukaryota, Metazoa, Arthropoda, Branchiopoda, Diplostraca, Daphniidae.